Candidatus Pacearchaeota archaeon CG1_02_32_21 is the source of this 84-nucleotide non-coding RNA. NCBI's taxonomy places the organism in Archaea, Nanobdellati. The record is from Rfam.
GCGGGAGUGCCGGAGUGGUCAAACGGGCAGGACUUAAGAUCCUGUGGCUUAGUGCCUACGUAGGUUCGAACCCUAUCUCCCGCA